UGUGGUGUUGAUCAGGUAAUGGAGUUAAUUUGAUUGGUAAAGGUCCUGGUAAGUUAGUCUAGUUUUAGGUUUAGGAAUUCAAUUACUAGUAGUAUAUAUAUUCGUUAACUGUUGACUAGUUACAGCAUAGGGGAUCAUUCAAGCACUUAUAAUUCGAUGUGUUUCUUUUAUUUGCGAUACAGACUAGUGGAUUGUUAUCAACGUCGCAUUUGGUUGCAUCCUUUCGGAUUUAAGGUUAGUGCAUGGGGCAUUGUAGAGGACUCUGCGGCGUUGUCGGGACCUUCUGUUUGGACCUCUAGGACGUCUGCAUUUUUAUUUCUUUUCUAUUGCCAAAAAGCUUCCGCAUUUUUAUUAGCUUUCGCACUUUUAUUAAUUGGCAGUUCGUUGUGGAAUUUGGAGAUUGGAAAAUAUCGGAUAUUGUGUCGUUUGCUUAAGAAAAAUAUUGGUUUGGUGUCGCGCAUUUUAUUGUAAUAAAAUAUCCAGUUUUUUUUAUUUA
Rhododendron vialii is the source of this 496-nucleotide long non-coding RNA. RefSeq lists it as uncharacterized. The transcript is spliced from 2 exons. The record is from RefSeq and is a predicted model, not a curated record. NCBI's taxonomy places the organism in Eukaryota, Viridiplantae, Streptophyta, Magnoliopsida, Ericales, Ericaceae.